RNAcentral lists this ribosomal RNA (1531 nucleotides) under marine sediment metagenome. RNAcentral's name for it is "bacterial LSU rRNA". It matches the Rfam family "Bacterial large subunit ribosomal RNA", at positions 444 to 1992 of the family's 2925-position model. The record is from RNAcentral.
CCGGGGGGACCACCCCCCAAGCCUAAAUACUACCUAGUGACCGAUAGCGCAUAGUACUGUGAAGGAAAGGUGAAAAGAACCCCGGGAGGGGAGUGAAAGAGAACCUGAAACCCUAUGUUUACAAGCAGUGGAAGCACUACGAGUGCGACCGCGUACUUUUUGUAGAACGGUCCAGCGAGUUACGCAUACUGGCAAGGUUAAGAACUUAAGGUUCGAAGCCGAAGGGAAACCAAGUCUUAAUAGGGCGAAUCAGUCAGUGUGAGUAGACCCGAAACCGGGUGACCUAUCCAUGGGCAGGUUGAAGUUACCGUAAAAGGUAAUGGAGGACCGAACGCACAUCUGUUGAAAAAGGUGGCGAUGACCUGUGGAUAGCGGAGAAAUUCCAAUCGAACCCGGAGAUAGCUGGUUCUCCUCGAAAUAGCUUUAGGGCUAGCCUUGAUGGAGUCUAACGGAGGUAGAGCACUGAAUUGUCUAGGGGGCUUCACAGCUUACCGAAACAUAUCAAACUCCGAAUGCCGUAUAGAUGCUCAUCAGGAGUCAGACUAUGGGAGAUAAGUUCCAUAGUCAAAAGGGAAACAGCCCAGACCACCAGCUAAGGUCCCAAAGUGCGUGUUAAGUGGGAAAGGAUGUGAGAUUUCACAGACAACUAGGAUGUUGGCUUAGAAGCAGCCACACAUUUAAAGAGUGCGUAAUAGCUCACUAGUCGAGAGAUCUUGCGCCGAAAAUGUCCGGGGCUAAAACACGACACCGAAGCUGUGGAUUGUAUACAAAGUAUACAGUGGUAGAGGAGCAAUCUUAACAGGACGAAGCCAUAGUGGAAACAAUGGUGGACAGUUAAGAAGAGAGAAUGCUGGAAUGAGUAGCGAGAGAGAAGUGAGAAUCUUCUCGGCCGAAUAUCUAAGGUUUCCAAAGUAAAGCUGAUCUGCUUUGGGUAAGUCGGGACCUAAGGUGAGGGCGAAAGCCGUAGCCGAUGGACAACUAGUUGAAAUUCUAGUACUACAUAUAAACAGAACUGUGGGGACGCGGACAGAUAAGGAAAUCUGGGAAUGGAAAAACCAGUGUAAGCGUAAAGGUUGUAACUUAGGCAAAUCCGGGUUACUGAGACUGAAACGUGAUACGGACCGAAAUAAAAGUAGGGAAGUUCCUGACUCUAUGCCGCCAAGAAAAGCCGCUAUUGUUUUAUAUGUACCCGUACCGUAAACCGACACAGGUGGAUGAGGAGAGAAUCCUAAGGCCGACGGGAGAAGCGUUGUUAAGGAACUCGGCAAAAUGACUCCGUAACUUCGGGAGAAGGAGUGCCAGAGCAAUCUGGCCGCAGUGAAUAGGCCCAAGCGACUGUUUAGCAAAAACACAGGUCUCUGCAAAACCGAAAGGUGAAGUAUAGGGGCUGACGCCUGCCCGGUGCUGGAAGGUUAAGGGGAGUGGUUAGGACUAGAUCCGAAGCUAUGAACUUAAGCCCCAGUAAACGGCGGCCGUAACUAUAACGGUCCUAAGGUAGCGAAAUUCCUUGUCGGGUAAGUUCCGACCCGCA